Molecule: long non-coding RNA, 172 nt
Organism: Maniola jurtina (meadow brown)
Lineage: Eukaryota; Metazoa; Arthropoda; Insecta; Lepidoptera; Nymphalidae
Exons: 3
Source: RefSeq, a predicted model, not a curated record
GCUAUUAUCGCUAUCUCUGUCUAAUCUGAAAUAUUUAAAUGCUUAUAACUUUUUUGUUAUUUGAUCGAUUUAAUUAGUUUUUUCAGUUUACGUCAUUAUUUUUAUCCUAGUUUAUAAUAAAGUUAUAAAAAAGUUAGAGUAAAAUACCCUCUUUGCAGAGACUGAAGUGGCA